CAUUCCCGUGAGUCGCGCCGUCCGUGUGUUCCCGAGGCGGCCGCGGCACCACACUGUUCCGGGGAGGGGACGGCGCUGUGCAAAAUACCCCAAAGAUGCAAGAAAAGCACAGAUGUUUGUUACUUCAUAGCCGUGUUGUACUAAAAGUUUAGGUUUUCUUUUAACACCGUGAAAGUUGCCUGUAGUAGCUACGUGUUUUGUUCUGUUGUAGCUUCUAGUGUGUCAGGAUGGCCGUGGUGCUGGCCCAGGCACGCGUAAUGCAGCCUGAGGAUUUUGCACAACAGCGGCGGGCACUCGCUGAAACUUGUCACCAUCCAACACAACAGUGACGAAUACCUAGGCAUGAAACACAUCUCCCGCCCCCUCAAAGGAAAAGGGAUUAAUAUGUCACCAUCCAACACAACAGUGACGAGUACCUAGGCAUGAAACACAUCUCCCCGCCCCCUCAAAGGUAAAGGGAUUAAUAUGUCACCAUCCAACACAACAGUGACGAGUACCUAGGCAUGAAACACAUCUCCCCGCCCCCUCAAAGGUAAAGGGAUUAAUAUGUCACCAUCCAACACAACAGUGACGAGUACCUUGGCAUGAAACACAUCUCCCCGCCCCCUCAAAGGUAAAGGGAUUAAUAUGUCACCAUCC
Long non-coding RNA from Eriocheir sinensis (Chinese mitten crab), 639 nucleotides. RefSeq lists it as uncharacterized. NCBI's taxonomy places the organism in Eukaryota, Metazoa, Arthropoda, Malacostraca, Decapoda, Varunidae. The transcript has 3 exons. The record is from RefSeq and is a predicted model, not a curated record.